Lynx canadensis (Canada lynx) is the source of this 1754-nucleotide long non-coding RNA. RefSeq lists it as uncharacterized. The record is from RefSeq and is a predicted model, not a curated record. Lineage: Eukaryota; Metazoa; Chordata; Mammalia; Carnivora; Felidae. The transcript has 4 exons.
CAGAGAACUGCUUCUAUCCCAUGUGGUAGCCCUUUCAAGAUACAGAUGUUACAACUGCAUAAGUGCAGUGUUGAGAGAUCUUUUUUUGCUACAAUGACCAACUGUGUGUCUGAGAAUAAAGUCAAUCUAGAAAGAGCGGAGCCAAAAAUAGAGAAAGUGAAAAGCCCAACAGUGAAUCCUGAAGUUAUCAUGGACAUUUAUAGCAGUAUUAAUUAUUUUGGAGCAAACUCUGAUGGAGCUGUAUAUGAGUCAGCAAUUGCCAUGAAAACACUGCAAAACAAACCACCCCAAAAUUCCCUGAACAGAAGUUUGGGAGAGGACGAACACAAGCCUCGCCUUUUGGCGCUACCCUAAGACUAAGCCUUGCUGAGUUUUCCAAGAAGACUGAGAACAAGUAGAUUAUGUACUGACCUUCACCUAGGCUAGACUAUUGACCAGUAGAACUGAGGGGGGGAUAACGUGUUUCCUUAAGCAUGUUUCAACCCUCUUUGAUGAGACUCUGUGCUCUGUGGUUUCCCCUCUGAAAUCUGUCCUCCUACUGCUGCCUACUCUUACAUACCUGGCCCCUCCCAUUGGAAAUAAAUCAUCCCAUACCCUUAAUCAAGAGGUUGAAUAUUCUUCCACAUUCUUUAUUUAAGGCCAGGCCCUCCAAGGAGCUCAGGCCCCCCGCAGCCUCUGUCAUAUAGAAGUUUUUUUGUCCGUCCUAUCCCCUUAGCUCAGUAGCUCAGAACACCUUGUCAUUUAGCUAUUCUACCCUCUUCAACUCUGUCAUCUACAGACUCCUGAUUAUUUCCCCACAUUUACUAAGAGGUGACCCCUGGAAUAUGAUUCCUCUUUGUUCUCUAUCCCUACAUCAGCCUGAGUGACAUCCAGCUAUAGACGACAUCUAAUAUGCUGGUCUUUUCACUUAUUUAUUUAUUUUUACAUCCUCAACUCCUUAAUUCUUCUAAUUUAGCAGCACAAUCCCAUGCAACUUAACUUCUCAAAUCUUAUACUCCAGUACUACUCCUCGACCAAACCUCCUAGGCUUUCAGCUCUUUUACUCUCAUGUGCUCACAUGCCUUUCCCUGAACCAUCAGUCCCUGCACCACUGUGCACUCUCUCAAUCUGAUAGCUCUCUUCUGUCCUUUCCUACUCAGCCCAGACCCCCAGCCCACCACUACAACCAUUCUCCCAUCAUUAUCACAAGGGUUCUGCCCUCAAAGCCAUCUCAUUGAAACCUCAUGUCUGCGUCAAAACUUUGGAUUCUCAGAGACACACUGUAGAAAAAUCAUACAACUUUGCUGUUUGUUGUCAUUAUAAAGUCAUGGUCCCUCUUCCCUGAAGAGGCCCUGAAUCCUCUGCCUUAAUCCUAUAUAGCCCUUGUCUAAUUUGUCUCUGUUAUCUAUGCAAUUUUUGGUUUCAAGUCUCAGAACCCUCAACUGCUUCCAACUCAAUUAAAAAAAAUCUGAGCUAAGAAUUAUUUCAAACCUCCACCUGUAACAACUUUUCCUUCUCACCUUAGUGAAAUGGGUUUCCUCGUGUUCAGAUCUAACCUUUCCAUCUGUCUCCACUUCCCUGUCCUUUCAUACUUCCUUGGGAAUCUCACAUUUGCAACCAUCUUUUAUUACUAUUAUUCUCUCCUUCUCUCUAUGUAUGGGCUUUCCCAAUAUAAUCAGGUCCAGUGUCCUUAUUCUUAAAGUGAAAAUCACUUUACAUAACUCUACAUUCUCUUUGAACCCAUUUCUCCCUUCCUUACAAGGUAAAUGUUUUUU